CAGCAGCCGCGGUAAUACGAAGGGUGCAAGCGUUAAUCGGAAUUACUGGGCGUAAAGCGUGCGUAGGCGGUUUGUUAAGUCUGCUGUGAAAUCCCCGGGCUCAACCUGGGAAUGGCAGUGGAUACUGGCAAGCUAGAGUGUGUCAGAGGAUGGUGGAAUUCCCGGUGUAGCGGUGAAAUGCGUAGAGAUCGGGAGGAACAUCAGUGGCGAAGGCGGCCCUCUGGACUGUAACUGACGCUGAGGCGCGAAAGCGUGGGGAGCAAACAGGAUUAGAUACCCCGGUAGUCCCUGUCUCUUAUAA
RNAcentral lists this ribosomal RNA (301 nucleotides) under uncultured bacterium. RNAcentral's name for it is "partial 16S ribosomal RNA". It matches the Rfam family "Bacterial small subunit ribosomal RNA", at positions 509 to 809 of the family's 1533-position model. The record is from RNAcentral.